Molecule: long non-coding RNA, 660 nt
Filed under: Pan troglodytes (chimpanzee)
Lineage: Eukaryota; Metazoa; Chordata; Mammalia; Primates; Hominidae
Description: long non-coding RNA NONPTRT014206
Source: RNAcentral
CUAGAUAAGCAAGAAAACAGAUUAUCCUUUAGAACCUCCAAAAGAAUCCAGCCUGCCAACAUCUAGAUUUUAGUCCUGUGGGAUCCAUGUCAGAUUUCUGACAUACAGAGCUGUAAGAUAAAUAAUGUAUGUUGGUAGGAGGGGUUGGAGGAAAAAAAGUAUCUAUUAAAAAGCCAGUAAAUUGACUACUCUGCCUAUGGAGUAGCCAUUCUCUAUUCCUUUACUUUCCUAAUAAACUUGCUUCCACUUUAUUAAUUUGCCUCAAACUCUUCUUUGUGUGAGGUCCAAGAACCCUCUCUUGGGGUUUGGAUCAGGACCCCUUUCUGGUAACAUCUUCCUGAUGAAUCCCAAAGAGGUGAUACUGAGGAGACCCCGGACUCAAAGGAAACAGACUGCAGCACUGAUUGGCUGACUCUGGAGCCAAGAAAACUUUCAAGUUACUUACAGCUUUUAACAAUUGAGUAAAGUCUAUUCCUGUGAACAAAAUUUGGAGCAUAUUUAUUUCUCUCUACCUGAUUUCUCCAGAAUUGGAAAUUAUUUGCGAGCAUUCUUAAUUUAUGGCAAUAUAGUUAUUUGCAUAAGUGCAAUAAGAAUCUGUUUUCUUUUGUAACGGGACACAAUUGGAGACACUGGUUAUUUUACCAAGGUUUUGACUGGAAU